RNAcentral lists this transfer RNA (89 nucleotides) under Minisyncoccota bacterium. Its description in RNAcentral is "tRNA-Ser". It matches the Rfam family "tRNA". Rfam says of the family: Transfer RNA (tRNA) molecules are approximately 80 nucleotides in length. Their secondary structure includes four short double-helical elements and three loops (D, anti-codon, and T loops). The record is from RNAcentral. Lineage: Bacteria; Bacillati; Minisyncoccota.
GGAGGAGUGUCAGAGUGGUCGAUUGUGCUUCCUUGCUAAGGAAGUGAGGUGUUAAGCCUCCGGAGGUUCGAAUCCUCUCUCCUCCGCCA